This 76-nucleotide transfer RNA is filed under the name Acidobacteriota bacterium. Its description in RNAcentral is "Acidobacteria bacterium tRNA-Ile". It matches the Rfam family "tRNA". From Rfam's summary of the family: Transfer RNA (tRNA) molecules are approximately 80 nucleotides in length. Lineage: Bacteria; Pseudomonadati; Acidobacteriota. The record is from RNAcentral. RNAcentral also lists the same sequence under 2 other names.
GCCCUUGUAGCUCAACGGUUAGAGCAGCAGACUCAUAAUCUGUUGGCUGUAGGUUCGAAUCCUACCGAGGGCACCA